This 465-nucleotide ribosomal RNA is filed under the name Vreelandella stevensii. Its description in RNAcentral is "partial 16S ribosomal RNA". It matches the Rfam family "Bacterial small subunit ribosomal RNA", at positions 338 to 795 of the family's 1533-position model. The record is from RNAcentral. Lineage: Bacteria; Pseudomonadati; Pseudomonadota; Gammaproteobacteria; Oceanospirillales; Halomonadaceae.
CCUACGGGUGGCAGCAGUGGGGAAUAUUGGACAAUGGGCGAAAGCCUGAUCCAGCCAUGCCGCGUGUGUGAAGAAGGCCUUCGGGUUGUAAAGCACUUUCAGUGGGGAAGAAAGCCUUGGGGCUAAUACCCGCGAGGAAGGACAUCACCCACAGAAGAAGCACCGGCUAACUCCGUGCCAGCAGCCGCGGUAAUACGGAGGGUGCGAGCGUUAAUCGGAAUUACUGGGCGUAAAGCGCGCGUAGGCGGUCUGAUAAGCCGGUUGUGAAAGCCCCGGGCUCAACCUGGGAACGGCAUCCGGAACUGUCAGGCUAGAGUGCAGGAGAGGAAGGUAGAAUUCCCGGUGUAGCGGUGAAAUGCGUAGAGAUCGGGAGGAAUACCAGUGGCGAAGGCGGCCUUCUGGACUGACACUGACGCUGAGGUGCGAAAGCGUGGGUAGCAAACAGGAUUAGAUACCCUAGUAGUC